Molecule: RNase P RNA, 308 nt
Filed under: Fimbriimonadaceae bacterium
Lineage: Bacteria; Bacillati; Armatimonadota; Fimbriimonadia; Fimbriimonadales; Fimbriimonadaceae
Description: Bacterial RNase P class A
Rfam family: Bacterial RNase P class A
About the family: Ribonuclease P (RNase P) is a ubiquitous endoribonuclease, found in archaea, bacteria and eukarya as well as chloroplasts and mitochondria.
Source: Rfam by way of RNAcentral
CGAGUUGGUCGGGUAGCGGCUCCGAGUAAUCGGGGAGGAAAGUCCGGACUUCAUAGGGCACAGUGCCUUGCGCAAGCAAGGGCGGGGCGACCCGACGGAAAGUGCAACAGAAACAAACCGCCGCAAGGCAAGGGUGAAAUCGUGAGGUAAGAGCUCACGCCGGUCCGUCGUAAGGCGGCCGGGGGCAAACCCCACUGGAAGCAAGGCCAAAUAGGGGCGGGAUGAUGCGGCCCGCGGACCGCCCGGGUUGGCCGCGUAGAUAAAUCGCUGCACAAAAACAGAAUCCGGCUUACAGACCGACUCGCAUU